RNAcentral lists this long non-coding RNA (3860 nucleotides) under Panax ginseng (ginseng). RNAcentral's name for it is "long non-coding RNA (PGIN_LNC005049)". Lineage: Eukaryota; Viridiplantae; Streptophyta; Magnoliopsida; Apiales; Araliaceae. The record is from RNAcentral.
GAAAAUUCAUUAUCCUUCCUUCAUUUUUCAUUUAUAUCGUUCGAGAAAAUAGAAAGCAAGAGAGAGAAUAGAGAGAAAGAGAGAGAAACUCAUGGAUGAGUUAAGGAGCAAAGAGAAGAAGCAAUCAUCUAGCAAGCUUUAAGCUUUGAUCAUCUAGCUAAGUAAGAAGAAAAAGAUCUUCAAGAGGUAAUCUUAAAACCUUAAACCAUUUCUCCAUCUUUUCAUGUUUAUUUUAGUUUUGAUGGUGGUUGAAUAUGGUAUAUAUAGGUAUGCUUGUAAUCUACCCGGUAAAUGCAUGAAAAAUGGAACAAAAGAAAGAAAAUGAACCCAAGCAUAAAGGAUGGAAAAAAAUAAAUAGUGGGCGAUUUUGGGACCAUUUUGCUAUUAUGUACCAAAUCUAAAAAUUAAGUUUUGGGGUGUUAUUUUAUACCCUUAUGAGUUAUGAACAUAACCCAAUUGGAACGGAGGCAAAAACUUGUAUAACGAAGCCAUGACGAAUUUUUAAGUAAGAGUACUAGUUAAAAAGUUAAAAACGAAAUUAGUGUAAACCCAGACUCUUGAACAGUUUUCUGUUCUAAAUGGUUUGCUAGAAAAAUUUUCCGCUUUGAGGGUUGAGUAUUACGUUAAUUAAGUAACAAGUCCGUGGAUGUAAGAAUGACUUCAUUUCGAGUCCCGAGGUGGGAGAUAUGCCCUUCGGAAGGAGACUAGUCAAAACUGUCAAAAACUGUAAAAUUAUUUCGGGUAGGGACUUUUGUGCCACUGUUUGGGCCAAAGAAUGAACCUGAAAAAAUUUCCACUCGUGAGGAUUUGUAGUAGAUGCAAUAAGGAAGAAAAUAAUACAAGAACGGACCCAUUACGAUAACGGCGGGUCAAGUUAUGACGUUGUAAAGUAGGUGCGACGAUAACGAAAAACUGCAUGUUUUCGUUUCUGGAGACGGGUAGUUUUGUACUAAUGCAGAAAGGUUAGCCUGUCCGGAUUUACAGACAUGGAGUUUUGUGCUAAAACGGACGGAUUUUUGCUGUCUGGAUGGUCAUACAUGGAGUUUAAAGAUAAAGUAGACAGGUUAAGCUGUCAAUUUUAUACCUGUAACAUAAAAUGAAGAAUAAAAGUUGGGCGUAUUGAUUAAAUCAUAAAAUGCGAAUAUAAGAGAUGGAAUGAAAUUAAUAAAGUCAUGGAGGGACUUUAAUAUGUAAUUCUAAAUUAUGAUUUAGGCUAAGCGGGAAAUAAACAAAGUGUAUUGAUUUUCAAAAGCCGAAUAGUCAGACAAUGUUAUGCUACGUUGUUCCGAACUAUAUAAGACGAGCGUAAUAAAGAUUAAUUAAAGAAUGAUUUAAUAUGUCUUAAAUUAUGAAAUAUAAGCAUCAUGAGACUUUUGAAUUAAAGUCUAAACUAUGAACGAAGUUAAAAGAGAAAUAUACCGGGGUGUAUAAAGUUAAGUACGUUGUUUCGAGUUAUAAAACCCUAACAUUGUGAAUUAUGAAAUAAGCUAAGAUAAGCUAAAGUAAACCACUAUUUGGGGUCAAUACUUGACUAAUUGGUAUGUUCGACAUUAAUGAUAUAUGUAGGUCGUUUGAAGAGCAAUGUAGCAUAAACUAUAAAGUGUUAAGGUAAGUUUUCUAAACUUACUCAAAUUUUAUAAUUGAGUGAGUUUUCUACUUUCAUUUGAUUACGUAUUCAUAAAUGCAAGUAUUGUAUAAUCUUGUAUAUCUAUUGUUAUGUACAAGACAUGAGAUUAAACUGUGGAAUUUUAUUUGAUAUAUAAAAUUCAUCGUAUGAUGUGAUAUAAGCUAUGAAAAAUGAGUUCGGCCAUUUGAUUCGGUUUAACUCAAUUUGUUGAGCUAUUUCAGUCAAAAUGUUUAUUGUUAAGAUAUUAAAUGUUGAUAAAUUAUUUAUUUGUGAGAAGUUGUAUGUGACGCCCCCAAAAUAGGUAUACAUCACCCAUUCUGAGUCACCAAAUAUAUGGUACAGAAUACAAAUACAAACUUAAUCAUACAACUGUCGUGUAACAUAAACUGAGAGUUUUAACACGAAUAUUGUCUUCUAGACAUGCAAUAUCCAAACUCAAAUGAAAUCCUCAUUAUAUUUAUUAUCACACUAUUUGAAAGAUAUAGUGAGGACUACUAAAGCAACCAUCUGGACCAUCACUCCAUUCUCCGACUAGUCCCAGCUAUAUUCUCAUUUCCUGAAGAGAACAAUGAAAACAAAGGGUGAGCUCAACUAGCCCAGUAAAGAAUAUUAUGACAAAGAUAAUGCAGAAUAAAUUAUCAUUAGUUUUCAAUAGUGUUAAACUGAUAGAAUACAAUAGACAACAAGUUUAACUGCAGCGAAACAAACAAUCCAUUAGAAGAGUCAAGUAGAACAAAAUAUCUACUAUCUUCUAUGAUUUAAAAGUUUAUCAUAAAUUUUAUCGCUGAGACUCAGCUUAAUAAAUAAUCCACAUCACUAAAUUAUCCAUGCAUUACAGGCCAAGGAUAUUCAUUAGUAUCACAUCCACGAAUUAUCCAUGCACUACGGGCCAAGGAUAUUCGUGUUAUCACCAAUAGUCAUGAUCAUGACAAACAACAAUUCAUCUUUGCACCAUUGGCCGAAGUGAACCCAUGGUCAUGAUCAUACCAACAACUGCCCAUCAAUGCACUACGGGCCAAUGAAGACUUUUACCACAUCAUUUAUAACAUUACAAGUUAUGAUUAUACCGAAUAAUCUCUGGUCAUAAUUAUACCAAUCAACAUUCCAUUUAUGCAUUACGGGCCAAACAUGACCUUCAUCAUAAUAUAAGCAUGAGGAUGAUGACAAUGAUAUAAGAAUUCAAUCAAACGAAAUCAAGGAUAAAUAUUAAAGACUUUAAAUUUAUCCAGAGUUUAAAAAUGUCCAAAUUAUUAACAUGAUAACUACUUUGUGGAGUAAAAUUCAAGAAUAAUAUUUCGAAAAUAAUUUUGACAGAAAAGAAAUCAAUUUUUGUCAUGAAUAGUACCUCGGGUGAAUAGUACCUAAGCGAAUAGUAUCCCGUGAAUAGUACUUCAUGAAUAGUACCCCGUGAAUAGUACCCGAGCAUGAAAAGUUUAAAAUUUAACAAGAAUGUCCAGAAAAAUAUUCUUAUGAAACGAUACUAGAUGAAACGCAAAUUUUAAGGAUAUUCUACUAAUUUCAAGGAGUAUAGAAGCAAUACUUAACUAAAUGAGUGUAGAAUUCGGAAUCUGAAACGAAAUAAUAUUACUUACGUACUACAGAGAAUGAAAGAAAAUAUUAUUUCUUACGAAUAUUGAACAAAAAUAAUAUCCUUUACGACUGUUGAGCGAAAAUAAUAUUACUUACGAAUAUUUAACGAAGAUAAUAUUCCUUACGAAUAUUGAACAAAAAUAAUAUUACUUACGAAUAUUGAACGAAAAUAAAAUUUCUUACGAAUACAAAAAAAAUAUCGUAAGUGAAUAUGAAAUAAAUAAUACCCCUUACAACUGUUGAACGAAAAUAAUAUUCCUACGAAUAUUAAACGAAGAUAAUAUUCCUUACGAAUAUGAAAAAUAAUAUCGUAAGCGAAUAUGAAAUAAAUAAUACCUCUUACCUUAAAAAGAGAGCAAUUUCGACUGGUAUAACGGAGAUAUUCUUAAAGAAAACUUAUACUGUUUUCUACACUUAAAGCUUCCUUAAACUCUAAAGAAAUAUGCUCAAUAUUAUAGAAGAUUAAUUUUCUGAUUCUGGUGUGAUUUUCAAUCCUAAACUAAGUAUCCUAUUUAUAAGAGAAUGGCAGGGCGCUAUUUAAAUUAGAAAUCACGGGUGAAUAGAGAAAUGCAAUCACGGGCAUUCGGUUGAAUUUUCUGGAAAAAAAAUUGAUUUUACUAUGCUGCACUAUGCAGUACUAUGC